AACGAACGCUUGCGGCAUGCCUAACACAAGCAAGUCGAACGAGCUCUUCGGGUCUAGUGGCGCACGGGUUCGUUACGCGUUGGAAUCUGCCCUUUGGUUCGGAAUAACAGUUGGAAACUUCUGCUAAUACCGGAUGAUGACGAAUGUGCAAUGAUUUAUCGCCAGAGGAUGAGCCCGCGUAGGAUUAGCUAGUUGGUGUGGUAAAGGCGCACCAAGGCGACGAUCCUUAGCUGGUCUGAGAGGAUGAUCAGCCACACUGGGACUGAGACACGGCCCAGACUCCUACGCAGGACAACAGUGGGGAAUAUUGGACAAUGGGCGAAAGCCUGCACAAGCAAUGCCCAGGAAGUGAUGAAGGCCUUAGGGUUGUAAAGCUCGUUUACCCGAGAUGAUAAUGACAGUACCGGGAAGAAUAAGCUCCGGCUAACUCAAGGCCAGCCGCCGCAGUAA
RNAcentral lists this ribosomal RNA (450 nucleotides) under uncultured bacterium. Its description in RNAcentral is "partial 16S ribosomal RNA". It matches the Rfam family "Bacterial small subunit ribosomal RNA", at positions 29 to 523 of the family's 1533-position model. The record is from RNAcentral.